GAUUCGUCACACUAUCAUUAACUGAAUCCAUAGGUUAAUGAGGCGAACCGGGGGAACUGAAACAUCUAAGUACCCCGAGGAAAAGAAAUCAACCGAGAUUCCCCCAGUAGCGGCGAGCGAACGGGGAGGAGCCCAGAGCCUGAAUCAGCAUGUGUGUUAGUGGAAGCGUCUGGAAAGGCGCGCGAUACAGGGUGACAGCCCCGUACACAAAAGCGCAUGUGCUGUGAGCUCGAUGAGUAGGGCGGGACACGUGGUAUCCUGUCUGAAUAUGGGGGGACCAUCCUCCAAGGCUAAAUACUCCUGACUGACCGAUAGUGAACCAGUACCGUGAGGGAAAGGCGAAAAGAACCCCGGCGAGGGGAGUGAAAAAGAACCUGAAACCGUGUACGUACAAGCAGUGGGAGCACA
RNAcentral lists this ribosomal RNA (408 nucleotides) under Salmonella enterica subsp. enterica serovar Newport. Its description in RNAcentral is "partial 23S ribosomal RNA". It matches the Rfam family "Bacterial large subunit ribosomal RNA", at positions 137 to 583 of the family's 2925-position model. The record is from RNAcentral. Lineage: Bacteria; Pseudomonadati; Pseudomonadota; Gammaproteobacteria; Enterobacterales; Enterobacteriaceae.